RNAcentral lists this unclassified non-coding RNA (24 nucleotides) under Mus musculus (house mouse). RNAcentral's name for it is "oocyte_clustered_small_RNA7953". The record is from RNAcentral. Lineage: Eukaryota; Metazoa; Chordata; Mammalia; Rodentia; Muridae.
UCCAGAGUGGAAGAGCUCUGCUAA